GUGCCAGCCGCCGCGGUAAUACGUAGGGGGCAAGCGUUGUCCGGAAUCAUUGGGCGUAAAGAGCGUGUAGGCGGCCAGAAAAGUCCGCUGUGAAAACUCGAGGCUCAACUUCGAGCUGUCGGUGGAAACUUUCUGGCUAGAGUCCGGAAGAGGAGAAUGGAAUUCCUGGUGUAGCGGUGAAAUGCGCAGAUAUCAGGAAGAACACCCGUGGCGAAGGCGGUUCUCUGGGACGGUACUGACGCUGAGACGCGAAAGCGUGGGGAGCGAACAGGAUUAGAUACCCGCGUAGUCC
Molecule: ribosomal RNA, 292 nt
Filed under: uncultured bacterium
Lineage: Bacteria
Description: partial 16S ribosomal RNA
Rfam family: Bacterial small subunit ribosomal RNA
Source: RNAcentral